AAACAAAAAGUAUAUUUAUAUUACAAUUAGUUUCGACCUAAUAAAAACUUUGUGGUUUUGUUUA
This 64-nucleotide transfer RNA is filed under the name Parasacculina yatsui. RNAcentral's name for it is "tRNA-Arg". Lineage: Eukaryota; Metazoa; Arthropoda; Thecostraca; Polyascidae. The record is from RNAcentral.